This 183-nucleotide ribosomal RNA is filed under the name uncultured bacterium. RNAcentral describes it as "partial 16S ribosomal RNA". It matches the Rfam family "Bacterial small subunit ribosomal RNA", at positions 1317 to 1500 of the family's 1533-position model. The record is from RNAcentral.
UUCAUGAAGCUGGAAUUGCUAGUAAUGGCAGGUCAGCAUACUGCCGUGAAUACGUUCCCGGGCCUUGUACACACCGCCCGUCACACCAUGAGAGUUGGGAAUACCCGAAGCCUGUGAGCUAACUUUUAGAGGCAGCAGUCGAAGGUAGAAUCAAUGAUUGGGGUGAAGUCGUAACAAGGUAGC